RNAcentral lists this ribosomal RNA (484 nucleotides) under uncultured bacterium. RNAcentral describes it as "partial 16S ribosomal RNA". It matches the Rfam family "Bacterial small subunit ribosomal RNA", at positions 30 to 507 of the family's 1533-position model. The record is from RNAcentral.
AUUGAAUGCUGGCGGCAGGCCUAACACAUGCAAGUCGAGCGGAUGAAGGGAGCUUGCUCCUGGAUUCAGCAGCGGACGGGUGAGUAAUGCCUAGGAAUCUGCCUGGUAGUGGGGGAUAACGUCCGGAAACGGGCGCUAAUACCGCAUACGUCCUGAGGGAGAAAGUGGGGGAUCUUCGGACCUCACGCUAUCAGAUGAGCCUAGGUCGGAUUAGCUAGUUGGUGGGGUAAAGGCCUACCAAGGCGACGAUCCGUAACUGGUCUGAGAGGAUGAUCAGUCACACUGGAACUGAGACACGGUCCAGACUCCUACGGGAGGCAGCAGUGGGGAAUAUUGGACAAUGGGCGAAAGCCUGAUCCAGCCAUGCCGCGUGUGUGAAGAAGGUCUUCGGAUUGUAAAGCACUUUAAGUUGGGAGGAAGGGCAGUAAGUUAAUACCUUGCUGUUUUGACGUUACCAACAGAAUAAGCACCGGCUAACUUCGUG